Molecule: ribosomal RNA, 449 nt
Filed under: uncultured bacterium
Lineage: Bacteria
Description: bacterial SSU rRNA
Rfam family: Bacterial small subunit ribosomal RNA
Source: RNAcentral
UGAGGGAUAUUGCACAAUGGGCGCAAGCCUGAUGCAGCGACGCCGCGUGGAUGAAGAAGGCCUUCGGGUCGUAAAAUCCUUUUGCGCGUGACGAGAUAGGACGGUAGCGCGCGAAUAAGUCUCGGCUAACUACGUGCCAGCAGCCGCGGUAAAACGUAGGAGACGAACGUUAUCCGGAGUUACUGGGCGUAAAGGGCGUGCAGGCGGCCUGAUAAGUCUGGCGUGAAAUUUUUCGGCUUAACCGGGAGAAUGUCGUCGGAGACUGUCGGGCUAGAGGGUGAUAGAGGCGUGUGGAAUUCCGGGUGUAGUGGUGAAAUGCGUAGAGAUCCGGAGGAACACCAGUGGCGAAGGCGACACGCUGGGUCAUACCUGACGCUAAUACGCGACAGCAUGGGGAGCAAACGGGAUUAGAUACCCUCGUAGUCCCUGAGCGGGCUGGCAAGGCGCAU